ACUCCUACGGGAGGCAGCAGUGGGGAAUAUUGCACAAUGGGGGAAACCCUGAUGCAGCCAUGCCGCGUGUGUGAAGAAGGCCUUCGGGUUGUAAAGCACUUUCAGUAGGGAGGAAGGUAGUGUAGUUAACACCUGCAUUAUUUGACGUUACCUACAGAAGAAGCACCGGCUAACUCCGUGCCAGCAGCCGCGGUAAUACGGAGGGUGCGAGCGUUAAUCGGAAUUACUGGGCGUAAAGCGCAUGCAGGCGGCCUGUUAAGUCAGAUGUGAAAGCCCGGGGCUUAACCUCGGAAUUGCAUUUGAAACUGGCAGGCUAGAGUCUUGUAGAGGGGGGUAGAAUUUCAGGUGUAGCGGUGAAAUGCGUAGAGAUCUGAAGGAAUACCAGUGGCGAAGGCGGCCCCCUGGACAAAGACUGACGCUCAGAUGCGAAAAGGCGUGGGGGGAGCAAAACAGGAUUAGAUACCCUGGUAGGAUAGC
RNAcentral lists this ribosomal RNA (477 nucleotides) under uncultured bacterium. Its description in RNAcentral is "bacterial SSU rRNA". It matches the Rfam family "Bacterial small subunit ribosomal RNA", at positions 335 to 798 of the family's 1533-position model. The record is from RNAcentral.